GUGCAGCGCGUAAGGGAUGGUAGUGGAAAUCCUUUUUUGCUUAGGCUCGAGAGCCUCAGCCUGACAAAUGGUGGCGCAAAAAAGAUUGUAACGAACAGCCCGACCCGAG
Molecule: small RNA, 109 nt
Filed under: Epilithonimonas zeae
Lineage: Bacteria; Pseudomonadati; Bacteroidota; Flavobacteriia; Flavobacteriales; Weeksellaceae
Description: Chryseobacterium zeae Flavo-1 RNA
Rfam family: Flavo-1 RNA
Source: RNAcentral